AUUGAACGCUGGCGGCAGGCCUAACACAUGCAAGUCGAGCGGAGCUGCGGACGGGUGCGUAAUGCCUAGGAAUCUGCCUGGUAGUGGGGGAUAACGUCCGGAAACGGGCGCUAAUACCGCUUACUCUCAGAUGAGCCUAGGUCGGAUUAGCUAGUUGUUGGGGUAAAGGCCUACCAAGGCCACGAUCCGUAACUGGUCUGAGAGGAUGAUCAGUAACACUGGAACUGAGACACGGUCCAGACUCCUCCGGGAGGCAGCAGUGGUGAAUAUUUGACAAUGGGCGAAAGCCUGAUCCAGCCAUGCCGCGUGUGUGAAGAAGGUCUUCGGAUUGUAAAGUACUUUAAGUUGGGAGGCGUUACCAACAGAAUAAGCACCGGCUAACUUCGUGCCAGCAGCCGCGGUAAUUC
This 407-nucleotide ribosomal RNA is filed under the name uncultured bacterium. RNAcentral describes it as "partial 16S ribosomal RNA". It matches the Rfam family "Bacterial small subunit ribosomal RNA", at positions 30 to 526 of the family's 1533-position model. The record is from RNAcentral.